Molecule: transfer RNA, 64 nt
Filed under: Brevicoryne brassicae (cabbage aphid)
Lineage: Eukaryota; Metazoa; Arthropoda; Insecta; Hemiptera; Aphididae
Also listed under: 1 other name
Description: tRNA-His
Source: RNAcentral
AUUUAAAUAGUUUAAUUAAAAUAUUAAUUUGUGGAAUUAAAGAUUAUAUAUUUAUAUUUAAAUA